RNAcentral lists this ribosomal RNA (371 nucleotides) under uncultured organism. RNAcentral describes it as "bacterial SSU rRNA". It matches the Rfam family "Bacterial small subunit ribosomal RNA", at positions 526 to 896 of the family's 1533-position model. The record is from RNAcentral.
CAGAGGGUGCGAGCGUUAAUCGGAAUUACUGGGCGUAAAGCGCACGUAGGCGGCUUAGCAAGUCGGGUGUGAAAUCCCCGGGCUCAACCUGGGAACUGCAUUCGAGACUGCUUUGCUUGAGUAUGGGAGAGGGAGGCGGAAUUUCCGGUGUAGCGGUGAAAUGCGUAGAUAUCGGAAGGAACAUCAGUGGCGAAAGCGGCCUCCUGGACCAAUACUGACGCUCAUGUGCGAAAGCGUGGGGAGCAAACAGGAUUAGAUACCCUGGUAGUCCACGCCAUAAACGAUGAGAACUAGAUGUCGGGAGGGUUAGCCUCUCGGUGUCGCAGCUAACGCGUUAAGUUCUCCGCCUGGGGAGUACGGCCACAAGGUUG